GUGGGGAAUAUUGGGCAAUGGGGGAAACCCUGACCCAGCAACGCCGCGUGAAGGAAGAAGGUUUUCGGAUCGUAAACUUCUAUCCUUGGUGAAGAUAAUGACGGUAGCCAAGAAGGAAGCCCCGGCUAACUACGUGCCAGCAGCCGCGGUAAUACGUAGGGGACAAGCGUUGUCCGGAAUGAUUGGGCGUAAAGGGCGCGUAGGCGGCCAGGUAAGUAUGUAGUGAAAGUCCUGCUUUUAAGUUGGGAAUUGCUUUGGAUACUGUCGGGCUUGAGUGCAGGAGAGGUAAGCGGAAUUCCCGGUGUAGCGGUGAAAUGCGUAGAGAUCGGGAGGAACACCAGUGGCGAAGGCGGCUUACUGGACUGUAACUGACGCUGAGGCGCGAAAGUGUGGGGAGCAAACAGGAUUAGAAACCCUGGUAGUCC
Molecule: ribosomal RNA, 425 nt
Filed under: uncultured bacterium
Lineage: Bacteria
Description: partial 16S ribosomal RNA
Rfam family: Bacterial small subunit ribosomal RNA
Source: RNAcentral